Molecule: ribosomal RNA, 451 nt
Filed under: uncultured bacterium
Lineage: Bacteria
Description: partial 16S ribosomal RNA
Rfam family: Bacterial small subunit ribosomal RNA
Source: RNAcentral
GUGGGGAAUUUUGCGCAAUGGGGGAAACCCUGACGCAGCAACGCCGCGUGAGUGAUGAAGGCCUUCGGGUCGUAAAGCUCUGUCAGAGGGGAAGAAGUGUGGGGUGGCUAAUAUCCAUUUCACUUGACGGUACCUUCAAAGGAAGCACCGGCUAACUCCGUGCCAGCAGCCGCGGUAAUACGGAGGGUGCGAGCGUUGUUCGGAAUUAUUGGUCGUAAAGCGCGUGUAGGCGGUGUUUUAAGUCUGAUGUGAAAGCCCUGGGCUCAACCCGGGAAGUGCAUUGGAAACUGGGAUACUUGAAUACGGGAGAGGGCAGUGGAAUUCCUGGUGUAGGAGUGAAAUCCGUAGAUAUCAGGAGGAACACCGGUGGCGAAGGCGGCUGCCUGGACCGAUAUUGACGCUGAGACGCGAAAGCGUGGGGAGCAAACAGGAUUAGAUACCCGUGUAGUCC